GGCUCAGAUUGAACGCUGGCGGCAGGCCUAACACAUGCAAGUCGAACGGUAGCACAGAGGAGCUUGCUCCUUGGGUGACGAGUGGCGGACGGGUGAGUAAUGUCUGGGAAACUGCCCGAUGGAGGGGGAUAACUACUGGAAACGGUAGCUAAUACCGCAUAACGUCGCAAGACCAAAGAGGGGGACCUUCGGGCCUCUUGCCAUCGGAUGUGCCCAGAUGGGAUUAGCUAGUAGGUGGGGUAACGGCUCACCUAGGCGACGAUCCCUAGCUGGUCUGAGAGGAUGACCAGCCACACUGGAACUGAGACACGGUCCAGACUCC
Molecule: ribosomal RNA, 322 nt
Filed under: Citrobacter freundii
Lineage: Bacteria; Pseudomonadati; Pseudomonadota; Gammaproteobacteria; Enterobacterales; Enterobacteriaceae
Description: SSU rRNA
Rfam family: Bacterial small subunit ribosomal RNA
Source: RNAcentral